UACGUAGGGCGCAAGCGUUAUCCGGAAUUAUUGGGCGUAAAGAGCGCGUAGGCGGUCCGAUAAGUCGGCUGUGAAAGUCAUGGGCUCAACCCAUGAAAGCCGGCCGAUACUGUCGGACUAGAGUCCGGAAGAGGCGAGUGGAAUUCCUGGUGUAGCGGUGAAAUGCGCAGAUAUCAGGAGGAACACCGGUGGCGAAGGCGGGUCUCUGGGCCGAUACUGACGCUGAGGAGCGAAAGCGUGGGGAGCAAACAGG
Molecule: ribosomal RNA, 253 nt
Filed under: uncultured bacterium
Lineage: Bacteria
Description: partial 16S ribosomal RNA
Rfam family: Bacterial small subunit ribosomal RNA
Source: RNAcentral